This 329-nucleotide unclassified non-coding RNA is filed under the name soil metagenome. RNAcentral describes it as "partial contains 5.8S ribosomal RNA, internal transcribed spacer 2, and large subunit ribosomal RNA". The stretch from base 1 to 120 matches the Rfam family "5.8S ribosomal RNA", at positions 35 to 154 of the family's 154-position model. The record is from RNAcentral.
GAUGAAGAACGCAGCGAAAUGCGAUAAGUAAUGUGAAUUGCAGAAUUCCGUGAAUCAUCGAAUCUUUGAACGCACAUUGCGCCCCCUGGUAUUCCGGGGGGCAUGCCUGUCCGAGCGUCAUUACAACCCUCAAGCUCAGCUUGGUAUUGGGCCCCGCCGACCCGGCGGGCCCUAAAGUCAGUGGCGGUGCCGUCCGGCUCCGAGCGUAGUAAUUCUUCUCGCUCUGGAGGUCCGGUCGUGUGCUCGCCAGCAACCCCCAAUUUUUUUCAGGUUGACCUCGGAUCAGGUAGGGAUACCCGCUGAACUUAAGCAUAUCAAUAAGCGGAGGA